Non-coding RNA from Daphnia magna, 123 nucleotides. Lineage: Eukaryota; Metazoa; Arthropoda; Branchiopoda; Diplostraca; Daphniidae. The record is from Rfam.
GUACUCUGGUUUCCGAUCAACACCCGGAUAAAUCUUUCGCCUUUUACUAAAGAUUUCCGUGGUCGGGAGCAACUGAUGAGUCUAUGACUCAAUUUUUGAAUUGUGUCUUCUUACGAAGGCACA